UACGGAGGGGGCUAGCGUUGCUCGGAAUCAUUGGGCGUAAAGGGCGCGUAGGCGGCCGAUCAAGUCGGAGGUGAAAUCCCUCGGCUCAACUGAGGAAUUGCCUUCGAUACUGUUCGGCUUGAGUCCUGGAGAGGGUAGCGGAAUUCCCGGUGUAGCGGUGAAAUGCGUAGAGACCGGGAAGAACACCAGUGGCGAAGGCGGCUACCUGGACAGGUACUGACGCUGAAGCGCGAAAGCUAGGGGAGCAAACAGG
This 253-nucleotide ribosomal RNA is filed under the name uncultured bacterium. Its description in RNAcentral is "partial 16S ribosomal RNA". It matches the Rfam family "Bacterial small subunit ribosomal RNA", at positions 524 to 776 of the family's 1533-position model. The record is from RNAcentral.